This 290-nucleotide long non-coding RNA is filed under the name Nicotiana benthamiana. RNAcentral describes it as "long non-coding RNA (NBEN_LNC009278)". The record is from RNAcentral. Lineage: Eukaryota; Viridiplantae; Streptophyta; Magnoliopsida; Solanales; Solanaceae.
AGGGUCUGAAUCAUCAUCUGUUGGCCGCCUCCGACCAAUUUCAUACACCCUAGCAGAAGAAUACAUCUCAUCUUGGUCAUCCAUGGUGACCAGCCCAACAAAAGAAUCAGUUGGCUCUGCCGCGAAGUCAAGGACACAACGGUCUACUGGAAUGGUUGCAAUGUCAGAGUAGUUACGUCGCAAAGUCAAGGACACAACGGUCUACUGGAAUGGUUGCAAUGUCGGAGUAGUUAACAGCAUCUACCGUCCGGAAAGCAGCAAAGAGUGGGUGUUUAACACGACGUGUCUGG